This 440-nucleotide ribosomal RNA is filed under the name uncultured bacterium. Its description in RNAcentral is "partial 16S ribosomal RNA". It matches the Rfam family "Bacterial small subunit ribosomal RNA", at positions 338 to 795 of the family's 1533-position model. The record is from RNAcentral.
CCUACGGGAGGCAGCAGUAGGGAAUAUUGCUCAAUGGGGGAAACCCUGAAGCAGCAACGCCGCGUGGAGGAUGAAGGUUUUCGGAUUGUAAACUCCUUUUGUUAGAGAAGAUAAUGACGGUAUCUAACGAAUAAGCACCGGCUAACUCCGUGCCAGCAGCCGCGGUAAUACGGAGGGUGCAAGCGUUACUCGGAAUCACUGGGCGUAAAGAGCGCGUAGGCGGGAUAGCAAGUCAGAUGUGAAAUCCUAUGGCUUAACCAUAGAACUGCAUUUGAAACUGUUAUUCUAGAGUAUGGGAGAGGUAGGGGGAAUGGUUGGGGAAGGGGUAAAGGGCGGAGAGAUAAAGAGGAAUACGCAGUGCGAAGGCGACCUGCUGGAACAUAACUGACGCUGAUGCGCGAAAGCGUGGGGAGCAAACAGGAUUAGAUACCCUAGUAGUC